ACGAACGCUGGCGGCGUGCUUAACACAUGCAAGUCGAACGGAAAGGCCCUGCUUUUGUGGGGUGCUCGAGUGGCGAACGGGGGAUUAACACGUGAGUAACCUGCCCUUGACUUUGGGUUAACUUCAGGAAACUGGGGCUAAUACCGGAUAGGAGCUCCUGCUGCUUGGUGGGGGUUGGAAAGUUUCGGCGGUUGGGGAUGGACUCGCGGCUUAUCAGCUUGUUGGUGGGGUAGUGGCUUACCAAGGCUUUGACGGGUAGCCGGCCUGAGAGGGUGACCGGCCACAUUGGGACUGAGAUACGGCCCAGACUCCUACGGGAGGCAGCAGUGGGGAAUAUUGCACAAUGGGCGGAAGCCUGAUGCAGCAACGCCGCGUGCGGGAUGACGGCCUUCGGGUUGUAAACCGCUUUCGCCUGUGACGAAGCGUGAGUGACGGUAAUGGGUAAAGAAGCACCGGCUAACUACGUG
This 467-nucleotide ribosomal RNA is filed under the name uncultured bacterium. RNAcentral describes it as "partial 16S ribosomal RNA". It matches the Rfam family "Bacterial small subunit ribosomal RNA", at positions 29 to 507 of the family's 1533-position model. The record is from RNAcentral.